RNAcentral lists this ribosomal RNA (253 nucleotides) under uncultured bacterium. RNAcentral describes it as "partial 16S ribosomal RNA". It matches the Rfam family "Bacterial small subunit ribosomal RNA", at positions 524 to 776 of the family's 1533-position model. The record is from RNAcentral.
UACGUAGGGUGCGAGCGUUAAUCGGAAUUACUGGGCGUAAAGCGUGCGCAGGCGGGCUUUUAAGCCAGACGUGAAAUCCCCGGGCUUAACCUGGGAAUGGCGUUUGGGACUGGAAGUCUGGAGUGCGGCAGAGGAGACUGGAAUUCCUGGUGUAGCAGUGAAAUGCGUAGAUAUCAGGAGGAACACCGAUGGCGAAGGCGGCAUCCUGGACUGGUCCUGACACUCAGGAGCGAAAGCGUGGGGAGCGAUCCGG